Molecule: unclassified non-coding RNA, 335 nt
Filed under: Hevea brasiliensis (rubber tree)
Lineage: Eukaryota; Viridiplantae; Streptophyta; Magnoliopsida; Malpighiales; Euphorbiaceae
Source: RNAcentral
UAACAAGGGGCUAAAACCCUCACAUACCAAUUGAGUUCAACAACCUAAAUUAAACCCAAGCAAGGAAAAUCAAAGGAAACUAAGAACCGCAAAUGGGUAACCCUUCGAUUAAUCAAACCAAAAGAAGCUAAAUAUCAAUUCUAAGAGUUAACCACUGAUCACCCACUAAUUCCUUUAGGGAAUUACACUAAGCACUAAAGCUAGCAACUAGAAUUCGAGAGUAUUCAACUUCAACUUCAAACAUUCAACAUACUAAGUCUUCCAAAUGACAAAUGACUACUAUUACACUAAGGAAAUAAAGAAGUCACUUUCUUUACAAUUUUACGCAUAAUGAG